This 242-nucleotide long non-coding RNA is filed under the name Malus domestica (apple). RNAcentral's name for it is "long non-coding RNA (MDOM_LNC002444)". Lineage: Eukaryota; Viridiplantae; Streptophyta; Magnoliopsida; Rosales; Rosaceae. The record is from RNAcentral.
UGAAAGCAGUGUGAAUCGAUGUUCUAAAAAGUAGUCUAGACAGCUAGCCAGCACCACGAUUAAUUACUAAAUGAUUAGAAAAUCAAGUAUGGCAUCAACGUGGGUUUAGGCAGAAUAAGUGUUUGUUUUUUUUUUUAAUUAACUUUGAGUCUUGACUCACCCUUUCCCAGACAGAAAAAGGAAACCAAUAAUGCGAUGUGGUCGUCUCUUUUUGCCAUAGUUCUUUGAUGUUUUCAAUAAAU